UAUUGCCUUGCGCUCUUUGACAUCCAUCAAUAACACAUGUAUUCAGUGAUAACCAUAUUAAAGGGCUUCCACCUACGCUUUAGAAGUUUCCUUACAAUGGAAUCUGCCCUUGCGGGUCCACUUGAAAAUAUGAAAAAAGAGGUGUGGAGGUUCUUGUGUGAAAAGUGGUCUGACAAGGACUAUAAGGUAACUUUGUCAAUCUUGUAGAUGAGAAAUGUUUAAUAAUAAAAUAAACACUUUGUACUCUGACGUAUGCAUUCAAUAAUAGGUGAGAUGUGACAAGAAUAAGUUGAAUUGGGAGAAGUUGAAAAUGCUCGACAUUGCUGGCUCGAAAGCCUUCAGAAAAGUGCAAUAUGAUGAGGCAAAUUCAACUCUUAUAUAUGGUGAAACACACACCUUGCCCCGGCAGGCAAAGAGGAAGUACUGCUGCCCGAAUUUACACCAAAUCCUGUUUUGGAGGUCCUGCAAGUUUGCGUCGAUUUGAAGUUUGGGAGCUCUUGCUAGAUUUUAAAUGCCAUUUCAACAAAGCCAUUGAGAAGAAAAUGCGAUGAGUUGAGUUGUUUUGUUAUGUAGGUAGAUAUAACUUCAAUUAUAAUCUGUUCAUUGAAUAGUUGAAUGCUACAAACAAUGCUUAUGGCACUAGCCUUAUAAAUUGGAAAUGAUACUUUUGAAAUCUCUGUCAGUUUAUGAUAUACAAUUAAGAUAUUACAUACUAAUGAAUUAGAGUAUGGUAUUUGUUUGUUA
Non-coding RNA from Camellia sinensis, 744 nucleotides. The record is from RefSeq and is a predicted model, not a curated record. NCBI's taxonomy places the organism in Eukaryota, Viridiplantae, Streptophyta, Magnoliopsida, Ericales, Theaceae.